Molecule: long non-coding RNA, 557 nt
Organism: Quercus lobata
Lineage: Eukaryota; Viridiplantae; Streptophyta; Magnoliopsida; Fagales; Fagaceae
Exons: 2
Source: RefSeq, a predicted model, not a curated record
GUCAAUUUAUCUCAAGUUCGAGCCUACGCUUGAUUAUUUUGCUACUUACAUUUUUAAAAAGCAUGAUAUAAAUACCACAUUUCAGCUGCCCCCAUCCCCAAUUCUUUUGUGCUCUCUCACCAUCAAUUCUCAAACUCUAUCGUUUCGUUCUGAUUUCCACUGCCGAAUUGUUUGCUGGAUCUUCAGGAAAAUGGGUUUUAUUUGAAGUGAAGAUAUGGUUGAUCCUCACAAGGAGUUAUUGGAUGGGAGGAGAACUUCACUCUUUAUGGAGUUGUGAUAGAUACAGAAUAGGUCUUGGGAACCAUAUCACACAUGAACAAUGUGACCAACUCUCCUAAAAUUAGAAGUGCUAUGUCAACAAUAUUUUCACAACAAAUCACAAGUAGUAAGUUAUUAUUGGUUUUAAUUUAAAUUUACCACUUAAAUUACUUAUUUGCUCACUAGUAACAAUAAAUAACAACUUGCUAUCUAAGAUUUGUUGUGAAAGUGUUAUGGACAUAGCUUUUCUCCUCCUAAAAUAGCUAUAAAAGUUGUACCAUGAAAGAAAUAAACUUCAA